Molecule: ribosomal RNA, 510 nt
Filed under: uncultured bacterium
Lineage: Bacteria
Description: partial 16S ribosomal RNA
Rfam family: Bacterial small subunit ribosomal RNA
Source: RNAcentral
GACGAACGCUGGCGGCGUGCUUAACACAUGCAAGUCGAACGAAGAGCGAUGGAGGCUUGCUUCUUUCCAUCUUAGUGGCGAACGGGUGAGUCACGCGUAAUCAACCUGCCCUUCAGAGGGGGACCACAGUUGGACACGACUUCUUAUCCCGCAUACUAUCCAAUCUCGUCAUCGGGUCUGGAUGAAAGGUGUCCUCUAUUUAUAUGCUAUCAUUGACGGCGGAGUUUGCGUCUGAUUAGGUAGUUGGUUGGGUAACGGCCCACCAAGGCGAUGAUUAGGAGCCGGUCUGAGAGGAGGAACGGCCAAAUUGGGACUGAGACACGGCCCAGAACCCUACGGGAGGGAGCAGGGGGGAAACUUCCGCAAUGGACGAAAGUCUGACGGAGCAACGCCGGGGGAGGGAUGAAGGGCCUCGGGUUGGAAAGCUCUGGUAAUCGGGAAGAAUGGUACUUGUGCGAAUAGAGGGAGGAUUUGACGGUACCGGAACAGAAAGCCACGGCUAACUACGUG